CCUACGGGAGGCUGCAGUGGGGAAUAUUGCACAAUGGGCGCAAGCCUGAUGCAGCCAUGCCGCGUGUGUGAAGAAGGCCUUCGGGUUGUAAAGCACUUUCAGCAGGGAGGAAGGCGGUGAGGUUAAUAACCUCAUCGAUUGACGUUACCCGCAGAAGAAGCACCGGCUAACUCCGUGCCAGCAGCCGCGGUAAUACGGAGGGUGCAAGCGUUAAUCGGAAUUACUGGGCGUAAAGCGCACGCAGGCGGUCUGUCAAGUCGGAUGUGAAAUCCCCGGGCUCAACCUGGGAACUGCAUUCGAAACUGGCAGGCUAGAGUCUUGUAGAGGGGGGUAGAAUUCCAGGUGUAGCGGUGAAAUGCGUAGAGAUCUGGAGGAAUACCGGUGGCGAAGGCGGCCCCCUGGACAAAGACUGACGCUCAGGUGCGAAAGCGUGGGGAGCAAACAGGAUUAGAUACCCCAGUAGUC
Molecule: ribosomal RNA, 465 nt
Filed under: uncultured Klebsiella sp.
Lineage: Bacteria; Pseudomonadati; Pseudomonadota; Gammaproteobacteria; Enterobacterales; Enterobacteriaceae
Description: bacterial SSU rRNA
Rfam family: Bacterial small subunit ribosomal RNA
Source: RNAcentral